AAGUCGUAACAAGGUUUCCGUAGGUGAACCUGCGGAAGGAUCAUUAAAGUAUGUUACCGUUAUAUGAAACUCUCAUAUAACAUAACUUCAACCUUGUGAACUGUGAUUGCAACAUUCCCUUUGGCAAGUGGGUGCGUUGGGUUAUAUCUUGCCAAAGGUUGAAUACAACCUUAACUUUUGUUUAUUCAAGUUGACUGAUAUGGUUUAAUAUAAAAAUGUUAUACAACUUUUAACAGUGGAUCUCUUGGCUCCU
This 253-nucleotide unclassified non-coding RNA is filed under the name fungal sp. Its description in RNAcentral is "partial internal transcribed spacer region". The stretch from base 1 to 46 matches the Rfam family "Eukaryotic small subunit ribosomal RNA", at positions 1786 to 1831 of the family's 1831-position model. The record is from RNAcentral. Lineage: Eukaryota; Fungi.